Molecule: small nucleolar RNA, 121 nt
Filed under: Echinops telfairi (small Madagascar hedgehog)
Lineage: Eukaryota; Metazoa; Chordata; Mammalia; Afrosoricida; Tenrecidae
Description: Small nucleolar RNA SNORA61 (ENSETEG00000024300.1)
Source: RNAcentral
GCCUUCCAUAUUCCUUACCCGUCAGACCUAAACACUGGUCUGCGCCGUUAUUAGAGGAGGAAAUGUAAAGUUGACAUUGACUUACAUUCUUUUGUGACGCACAAGUUAGAUUCGAACAAAC